UUUCGGAAAUUUCGGUAUUUCUAAAACCCGCGAACGUGUAUUUAAGCAAACCUUGGCUGUAUCAAAACCUUGCUACAAAACGAUCUCUCUCUCUCAAACUCUCGUUUAUAUCACGUCACCGGAGAACAAAGCUUUCACCGGAAUAACCGAACACCUCUCGAACACCCUCUCUGUUUCGCAAAACACACACCAUAAACCCAUUCUCUAGACCUUGUCGAUUCAGAAGGAAGAAACAUCCCUGUAUAGUCGUCGGAGUAACUUGCAAGUCUCGCCGGAUUCGCGAAACGUCGUCGGAGUGAACCAAGCUGCCGGAGUUUUACGACGGAAUCGAUACGUCAACUGUUCGGAUAACCACUUCGUUCUCUUGGAUUAUUCUCCAUCGUUACUCGUACGUUCUUACAAGAUUUCGCAACGCAACCAAUGUUGUUAGACGAAGUUAUCAAGAAAACAAGCUAGGAUGGCUUUAGAUACUCAUUUUAGCAAUUAAACAAUGUUUGAAUUUAUGUUCACUAUUUGCAACAAUGUAUUAUUCUUUAGUUUUAAUAAAAUGAUUUAAAU
Molecule: long non-coding RNA, 558 nt
Organism: Helianthus annuus (common sunflower)
Lineage: Eukaryota; Viridiplantae; Streptophyta; Magnoliopsida; Asterales; Asteraceae
Exons: 3
Source: RefSeq, a predicted model, not a curated record